AAUAGAAGAAUGACAAAUUAGAUUUUUUUCUCUUGAUUUUUAGCUUUUUCCUCCUGAAAAAAAUCAAAUCUAACUAAAAAUACUAAAAAUCAAGAGAAAAUAUCUUAUUUAUCAUUUUCUUAUU
RNAcentral lists this microRNA precursor (124 nucleotides) under Gossypium hirsutum (cotton). RNAcentral's name for it is "MIR7504 microRNA precursor family". It matches the Rfam family "MIR7504 microRNA precursor family". Lineage: Eukaryota; Viridiplantae; Streptophyta; Magnoliopsida; Malvales; Malvaceae. The record is from Rfam by way of RNAcentral.